UGGUAGCCUCUCAUGACUUCAGAUACUGCUCGCAUUCCAGAUAACACUAAAACGAAAGGAAAUGGUGACUCUUCCAUGAAAGGAGCUGGUAAAGCAAUCUUCGUGCAAGAUAUAUAACACAUCAUCUAAGAAAGGGACGUGUGGUGGAUUCAAAUAAUCACACUGUCAUUUGAAUACACCUUUGUAAUUGAACACGUGCAAGAUAUUCUUACUUGAACCCUUUAAAUCUUGAAGCCAUUUGUUUCAUAGUGAUAUAUAAAUGUUUUUAUAACCUACCAGUUACUAACCAAACCCGAUUUCAUCGGUUUUAGCUUCAUUCUCAAGUAGACUCAUCCAUUUGGAUUUUCAAAAAUCAUCCUCCACCCUCUCUUCGUCGCCUACAAUACUUGUCCCAUUUCAUGAAUGCAUUUUUUUUAAUUCCAUUUUGAUCAAUAAAGCUUAUUAAGCAACUAAAAGAGAAAUUAAAAAAGCAAUUAAAAGAGAAGGCAUCACAACUUACACCACCCCUGCCCCACUCCCCCAAUUGCAUCCAAAAGAAAACAGUGUUUUUCCUUCAUUUCUAUUAUCGGAGUGGGGGCGGGGAGAGGAAUCCAAGGAACAGACAAAAAGGAAGAGAGAAUUCUGUGGAGGGGGCAAUAAAUUUUUGAAGUGGGAGAAAAGAAGCAAAAGGACUCGGAGAGAACAGCGGCAAACUUAAGAAAGGAGAAAAUGAAAAUAAAAGAAAAAAAGAGAGGGACCAAUAAUAUCAUAUCAAAUCCAAAAUCACAACCCCAGGAAAGAGGUGUUGCGUUCCCAAUGAUCUGGGAAUUCAAAAUCUAACCAAAACAGAACAAAACAAAACAAAACAAAAUAAGACAUAAUAAACCAAAAAAAACUCAGAUUGCACAGUCCACAAAAAAAAAAGGAGGGUCCGAAAAUUGAUGCUCCAACAUUCGAGCAUCAGUUACUAAUGCAACUUCCAUUCUCAGAUCACACAAAAAUAUCUUCUCAGUUAAUAAUUCUAAAAGUAUUUCGUGACCCAAAACAACGCAUAAAAGCGAAUUUCAGAAAUAACAACAAAAAAAGUAAAAUUACCUAGCUUUAUCGAGUGAAUUGACCCAAAUCCACUGCCUUAAGAUCAACAGAUCCAAUCCAACAGCACAAUUAAGCAGAAAUGCAAAAUCUGACAGGAACAAGGGAAAGUGUUUUUGUUUUUCUUUGGAGAGAGAAAGGGAAAGGGGAGGAGAGAGAAAGAGUAUUGUUAUCACUAGGGGGGUAAUAUAUGUUGGAGUGGGAGAGAGAGAAAGUCGGGGGGUUGGAGGGAAUGAUUUGUUGCCAGGCGUGCUUGUCACUAACGGCAGAGAAGAAAAGGGAGGUGAAAGGAAAGAGAGAGAAAAAAA
This 1379-nucleotide long non-coding RNA is filed under the name Nicotiana tabacum (common tobacco). Its description in RNAcentral is "long non-coding RNA (NTAB_LNC004470)". Lineage: Eukaryota; Viridiplantae; Streptophyta; Magnoliopsida; Solanales; Solanaceae. The record is from RNAcentral.